This 253-nucleotide ribosomal RNA is filed under the name uncultured bacterium. RNAcentral's name for it is "partial 16S ribosomal RNA". It matches the Rfam family "Bacterial small subunit ribosomal RNA", at positions 524 to 776 of the family's 1533-position model. The record is from RNAcentral.
UACAGAGAUCUCAAGCGUUGUUCGGAUUCAUUGGGCGUAAAGGGUGUGUAGGUGGCGCCGUAAGUCGGGUGUGAAAUUUCGGAGCUUAACUCCGAAACUGCAUUCGAUACUGCGGUGCUUGAGGACUGGAGAGGAGACUGGAAUUCAUGGUGUAGCAGUGAAAUGCGUAGAGAUCAUGAGGAAGACCAGUGGCGAAGGCGGCUCACUGGCCCGGUACUGACGCUGAGGUGCGAAAGCGUGGGGAGCAAACAGG